UACGUAGGGUGCGAGCGUUGUCCGGAAUUAUUGGGCGUAAAGGGCUCGUAGGCGGUUUGUCGCGUCGGGAGUGAAAAUCCAGGGCUUAACUCUGGACUGGCUUCCGAUACGGGCAGACUAGAGGUAUGCAGGGGAGAACGGAAUUCCUGGUGUAGCGGUGAAAUGCGCAGAUAUCAGGAGGAACACCGGUGGCGAAGGCGGUUCUCUGGGCAUUACCUGACGCUGAGGAGCGAAAGCGUGGGGAGCGAACAGG
This 253-nucleotide ribosomal RNA is filed under the name uncultured bacterium. RNAcentral's name for it is "partial 16S ribosomal RNA". It matches the Rfam family "Bacterial small subunit ribosomal RNA", at positions 524 to 776 of the family's 1533-position model. The record is from RNAcentral.